GAUGAAGAACGCAGCAAAAUGCGAUAAGUAAUGUGAAUUGCAGAAUUCAGUGAAUCAUCGAAUCUUUGAACGCACAUUGCGCCCGCUGGUAUUCCGGCGGGCAUGCCUGUUCGAGCGUCAUUUCAACCCUCAAGCCCCCGGGUUUGGUGUUGGGGAUCGGCUCUGCCCUUCUGGGCGGUGCCGCCCCCGAAAUACAUUGGCGGUCUCGCUGCAGCCUCCAUUGCGUAGUAGCUAACACCUCGCAACUGGAACGCGGCGCGGCCAUGCCGUAAAACCCCAACUUCUGAAUGUUGACCUCGGAUCAGGUAGGAAUACCCGCUGAACUUAAGCAUAUCGAUAAGCGGAGGA
Molecule: unclassified non-coding RNA, 348 nt
Filed under: soil metagenome
Description: partial contains 5.8S ribosomal RNA, internal transcribed spacer 2, and large subunit ribosomal RNA
Rfam family: 5.8S ribosomal RNA (bases 1-120)
Source: RNAcentral